UGUUCGAAUCCAUUGCGGUCAACAAAAGUCGGCGGUCAAACUUUGGUCAACGACAGUCAACUGUCGGGUCAAAGGCGGUCAACUCAGGACCCGGAAUGCUUUAGUUGCACGCUAGCGAGUUCACAUUCGUGGGAUGACACUACGGAAUCACGCUAGGCUAGCAUUGCACAGGAAGGUCAAGGUUGCAUUUUCAAAACUAUGGAACGGUUGGAAUAGGAGAAUCCAUGGGAAUUCGAGUA
Helianthus annuus (common sunflower) is the source of this 239-nucleotide long non-coding RNA. RefSeq lists it as uncharacterized. The transcript has 3 exons. NCBI's taxonomy places the organism in Eukaryota, Viridiplantae, Streptophyta, Magnoliopsida, Asterales, Asteraceae. The record is from RefSeq and is a predicted model, not a curated record.